Molecule: ribosomal RNA, 390 nt
Filed under: uncultured bacterium
Lineage: Bacteria
Description: bacterial SSU rRNA
Rfam family: Bacterial small subunit ribosomal RNA
Source: RNAcentral
AUUGAACGCUGGCGGCGUGCCUAACACAUGCAAGUCGAGCGGUAACAGGUGUAGCAAUACAUGCUGACGAGCGGCGAACGGGUGAGUAAUGCUUCGGAAUCUACCCAAUGGUGGGGAAUAACCAGCCGAAAGGUUGGCUAAUACCGCAUACGUCCCACGGGAGAAAGCAGGGGAUCGCAAGACCUUGCGCCAAUGGAUGAGCCGAAGUCGGAUUAGCUAGNGGUAGGGUAACGGCCUACCAAGGCGACGAUCCGUAGCUGGUCUGAGAGGACGACCAGCCACACUGGGACUGAGACACGGCCCAGACUCCUACGGGAGGCAGCAGUGGGGAAUAUUGGACAAUGGGGGAAACCCUGAUCCAGCGACGCCGCGUGUGUGAAGAAGGCCUGC